CUGUCUCUGUCCCCCAACUGCACAUCCUCCUUUCCCUCCUUGUCUCCCGUCCCUGCGGGAUUCCUCCGGGCAUCUCAGCUGGGACAACCGGGCUCGCGGGAGCCGUGGAGAUGGACGCCCCGGUCGAAGCUAUUUCUUCUCCCUUCCCUCCAUCCGAGCCUGUAUGAGCCUCUCCCCUUUCCCUAUCCUUCCGAGACCCCCGUGGACCCCGGGGCGGGCACGCAGGAGUCAAACUGCUGCCUGAAGCUUGAGAAGCAGGGAAAAGAAGAAUGAACUGGGGGACAGGAAAGGGGAAGAGAAAACUAGGGAGAAUGAAAUUGGAGGGCACGGAGGCCCCGCUGCUUCAUUCCUGUGUGCCUGGGGAUAUAUUUGUAUCUAUUUCUGCACUUCAUCGAUGCAAAGGAUCUGUGUCUGUUUCUUCACACCAUUACAUAUGAAAUCACCGGUUCCGGCCGCGGAUAUUUAAAGCCGCCAACCACUUAAUACAUCCAACAGACUGCAGAUUCUUCUUUUUGCUCCACUGGCCAAACCUACAUACCAGCCUCCAUGCUUCUUUGUGGCUCUUUUCUUCUUGAUGACUGCCCAGGCCAACUGAAGAAGAACAGAUGAGGAACAGCAGGUCCAAAUCAGCAGCUGGCUGCCUGCCACCAUGAGGAAAUCAGUCAGGCUGCUUCCCGCUCUGAGUCCACCAGCCCUUUCCGACACAUUAACCCAUUACCCAGCCAUGAAAUUCAAACACGUGUAGCCCUUCAUUCUCAGGAUGAGGUGGGGCAUGAGGAAUAUUGCUCUAAUCGUGUGGUCUGGGUUGAGCUGAGAUAAGGACCUAAGUGAGAAGAGUCCGCUCUUACAAUGAUGAAGCUCUUCAAUUAUUGCUUUACUUUUACCUAAUU
Molecule: long non-coding RNA, 890 nt
Organism: Tachyglossus aculeatus (Australian echidna)
Lineage: Eukaryota; Metazoa; Chordata; Mammalia; Monotremata; Tachyglossidae
Exons: 4
Source: RefSeq, a predicted model, not a curated record